CGGACGGCAGUACGAGGUCGAGGUGCGCGCCCGGUUCCCAGCCGGGCAGCCGCUCGCCCUCCAGGCGGAGGACCACCACCCCCUCGGCCGCC
Molecule: transfer RNA, 92 nt
Filed under: Streptomyces albospinus
Lineage: Bacteria; Bacillati; Actinomycetota; Actinomycetes; Kitasatosporales; Streptomycetaceae
Description: tRNA-Gly
Source: RNAcentral